GACGAACGCUGGCGGCGCGCCUAACACAUGCAAGUCGAACGAGCGAGCGAGAGCUUGCUUUCUUGAGCGAGUGGCGAACGGGUGAGUAACGCGUGAGGAACCUGCCUCAAAGAGGGGGACAACAGUUGGAAACGACUGCUAAUACCGCAUAAGCCCACGGUGCCGCAUGGCACAGAGGGAAAAGGAGCAAUCCGCUUUGAGAUGGCCUCGCGUCCGAUUAGCUAGUUGGUGAGGUAACGGCCCACCAAGGCGACGAUCGGUAGCCGGACUGAGAGGUUGAGCGGCCACAUUGGGACUGAGACACGGCCCAGACUCCUACGGGAGGCAGCAGUGGGGAAUAUUGCACAAUGGGGGAAACCCUGAUGCAGCGACGCCGCGUGGAGGAAGAAGGUCUUCGGAUUGUAAACUCCUGUUGUUGGGGAAGAUAAUGACGGUACCCAACAAGGAAGUGACGGCUAACUACGUG
Molecule: ribosomal RNA, 466 nt
Filed under: uncultured bacterium
Lineage: Bacteria
Description: partial 16S ribosomal RNA
Rfam family: Bacterial small subunit ribosomal RNA
Source: RNAcentral